AAUGCACACAAAAACCCAAAGAAUAUUGUUCCUAGUAAUGAUGUUCUUGUCAUGUGUGCAAAUAUUAUAUGUAUCUUGUCGCCUUUGAACAGUUGAAGUGCUGUUGAAAGUGAAACUUAAGGUCCUACAUGU
Small nucleolar RNA from Apteryx haastii (Great spotted kiwi), 132 nucleotides. NCBI's taxonomy places the organism in Eukaryota, Metazoa, Chordata, Aves, Apterygiformes, Apterygidae. The record is from Ensembl.